Molecule: unclassified non-coding RNA, 236 nt
Filed under: plant metagenome
Description: partial contains 5.8S ribosomal RNA, internal transcribed spacer 2, and large subunit ribosomal RNA
Source: RNAcentral
CACCGACGUGACGAGCUUCAUCAAGCGCUCGGACCUUUCCCGCGACCGUGCCGAGCAGCGGCCUGAGCGCUUCAACGUCGGCGACAAGGUGGAUGCCGCGGUGCUGAGCGUCGACAAGGCGAGCCGCCGCAUCUCGGUCUCGAUCAAGCAGCUCGAGAUCGCCGAGGAGAAGCACGCGGUGGCGCAGUACGGCUCGACCGACUCGGGCGCGUCGCUGGGCGAUAUCUUCAAGGCCG